CAGAGAACAGAGCAGAAAGGUCCGACAGUCUUUAAACGCGUCUUCAUGUUUCUGUGAAGCAGCGCGGCUUCAGCCUGCUAACAGGCAGCUAACAGGCAGCUAACAGGCUGCUAACAGACAGCUAACAGGCAGCUAACAGGCAGCUAACAGGCAGCUAACAGGCUGCUAACAGGCAGCUAACAGGCUGCUAACAGGCUGCUAACAGGCAGCUAACAGACAGCUGAGCUAAACUAACGAUGCCACGUUCAAACUCGCCGCAGCGUAAAAUAGUCGUCGCGGUCCGUAGUCGGUGCACAAGAAGCACCGCUGCACCGAUACGAGCGUCCUGGGUUCGUGGAUGACGUCAUCAUGACGCGUUAAUAUCCGCGUACUUUGUCUGUCUGUUGUCUGUCAGCUGCGGGCGAAUUUAGGGGGAAAAAGUAUCGUGACUUCUUCAACCACCAACAUGUUCGUCUCGUCAAGUCUCGAGGAGUUCGUCAGUUUUAGAAGAAUACAUUAUUCCUCCGUUCAUAAGAUGGAUCGGAUUAAUCCGUGAGGAGGAGGAGGAUGCUACAACCCGAUUAGAAUCUUCUCUCCUGAUCUUGAAGACAAAGUAUAUUAGACAUGUUGACUGUAACUCAAGUCACUUGUAUUACUGUAUUCCAGCUCUUUUAAAGGGAAAAUCAUCAUCGUUAGAUACACAUUUCUCAAGAUAUCUGCCAGAGUAGGGUACCAUAGAAUAUUAUUGUAUUUUAUACAGGUAUUGUUUAGCAUAUAACCCCUCCCUUUAAAUAUCCUGCACACACAUUAAUACGGAGAAAUGUAGGUUUGUUUUUCAGAUUUAGACUGCCAUUGUGUUUUUCUAUAUCAUCCUUCACACGCAUCAAAUUUACUUUGAAUCUAAAAAAUGGUUGUGAAAAGUGAAAAAUGUACAAUAUUGAUAUUUUGUGUUCCAUUCAUUGCUCUGUCGGUUGUCUGGAGUUCCCUCUAUUACUGGAGAGCAGUAUGCUUUUGCUAUGAGAUUCACACUAGUUGGACAGAAAGCCAAAUGUGUCUUUGACUUGCAGUUCUCUGCAGUGACCACCAGGAGGCAACUACUCUCCUUUUUUAUUUUAAAUUGUACAAGGAAAGGAGAAGGCUGGAAUGUUCACUGCCCACCCAGAGAUGGCAGUGUGGAUCCACUGAUCCAGCUUACUGUGAUUAAAUAGAUGAAGAGUUGAGAGUUGUAUCAGCAUCUGCAUUUAAUCAAUACACGACUAACAAACCAAAUCAAUUCAGUAUGAUUCAAAACGUAAUGUUUAUGUAACAAAAUAACUGAACAUAUAUGUGUGACUUCAAAUAUAAGUCAUUUUCUCUCAAUUAUCUAAAUAAAAGUAGGGCUGUAUUUAAAGAAAGUGAAAAAAUUAAGAAAAGAAAAGCUUGAAUUUCCCCUUUUCUGCUUCACAUUUGGACUAGAAUAUAUAUCCACUCCCACACUUUUUUAGUAGUGGAAGAAUUAAGCUCUAGUUUUUCCUUCCAGGAUGUGAAACCUGGUCUUAAUGCAUCAGGGCUGUUCUCGUCCUCACGUGGAGGAGCUCAUUGCGCCUCAUGACGGCGUUUCAACGGGUUUAGUUUUUUAGUGGGAAGUAUGAACAGAAACCAUUGUGGAUAAAAUGCUCUACUUUCGCUGUCCAUUUUUCUCUUUUUGGAGAGCACCAUUUGUUCCUCAUUUUUCUCUCCCAUCUCUUUCUGCGUCUCACUCGUCUUUUUCUCAAAUGUCGCUAUCUUUCUUUUUUCUUUUUAUUUGUUAUUUU
This is a long non-coding RNA of Gasterosteus aculeatus aculeatus (three-spined stickleback), 1772 nucleotides long. The record is from Ensembl. NCBI's taxonomy places the organism in Eukaryota, Metazoa, Chordata, Actinopteri, Perciformes, Gasterosteidae.